GAUAAACGCUGGCGGCGUGCCUAAUACAUGCAAGUCGAGCGGCAACAUGCCCAGCACCUUGUGCUGGAAAUCCGAAAGCUGAAUAUCGAAACUCGAAACAAAUCCGAAAUAAGAAAUCAGAAAUUUGAAGCCUUCCGGACUGAAAAGUCUUGAAGUUCAGGUUUCAUGCUUCGUGCUUAGAAUUUGUUUCGCGAGUUUCGUACUUCUAAUUUCGAGUUUUCCAACACAGCGUGUUGGGUAGA
RNAcentral lists this ribosomal RNA (242 nucleotides) under uncultured bacterium. RNAcentral's name for it is "partial 16S ribosomal RNA". The record is from RNAcentral.